UACGUAGGUGGCAAGCGUUAUCCGGAAUUAUUGGGCGUAAAGAGGGAGCAGGCGGCAGCAAAGGUCUGUGGUGAAAGACUGAAGCUUAACUUCAGUAAGCCAUAGAAACCGGGCAGCUAGAGUGCAGGAGAGGAUCGUGGAAUUCCAUGUGUAGCGGUGAAAUGCGUAGAUAUAUGGAGGAACACCAGUGGCGAAGGCGACGAUCUGGCCUGCAACUGACGCUCAGUCCCGAAAGCGUGGGGAGCAAA
This 248-nucleotide ribosomal RNA is filed under the name uncultured Thomasclavelia sp. RNAcentral describes it as "partial 16S ribosomal RNA". It matches the Rfam family "Bacterial small subunit ribosomal RNA", at positions 524 to 772 of the family's 1533-position model. The record is from RNAcentral. Lineage: Bacteria; Bacillati; Bacillota; Erysipelotrichia; Erysipelotrichales; Coprobacillaceae.